GAUGAACGCUGGCGGCGUGCCUAAUACAUGCAAGUCGAGCGAACAGACGAGGAGCUUGCUCCUCUGACGUUAGCGGCGGACGGGUGAGUAACACGUGGAUAACCUACCUAUAAGACUGGGAUAACUUCGGGAAACCGGAGCUAAUACCGGAUAAUAUAUUGAACCGCGUGGUUCAAUAGUGAAAGACGGUUUUGCUGUCACUUAUAGAUGGAUCCGCGCCGCAUUAGCUAGUUGGUAAGGUAACGGCUUACCAAGGCAACGAUGCGUAGCCGACCUGAGAGGGUGAUCGGCCACACUGGAACUGAGACACGGUCCAGACUCCUACGGGAGGCAGCAGUAGGGAAUCUUCCGCAAUGGGCGAAAGCUUGACGGAGCAACGCCGCGUGAGUGAUGAAGGUCUUCGGAUCGUAAAACUCUGUUAUUAGGGAAGAACAAAUGUGUAAGUAACUAUGCACGUCUUGACGGUACCUAAUCAGAAAGCCACGGCUAACUACGUG
This 497-nucleotide ribosomal RNA is filed under the name uncultured bacterium. RNAcentral describes it as "partial 16S ribosomal RNA". It matches the Rfam family "Bacterial small subunit ribosomal RNA", at positions 28 to 507 of the family's 1533-position model. The record is from RNAcentral.